CUACGGGGUGCUGCAGUGAGGAAUAUUGCACAAUGGGGGGAACCCUGAUGCAGCAACGCCGCGCGGAGGAUGACGCAUUUCGGUGUGUAAACUCCUUUUAUAUGUCAAGAAAAUGACGGUAGCAUAUGAAUAAGCACCGGCUAACUCCAUGCCAGCAGCCGCGGUAAUACGGAGGGUGCAAGCGUUACUCGGAAUCACUGGGCGUAAAGGACGCGUAGGCGGGUUGGAAAGUCAGGUGUGAAAUCCUACAGCUUAACUGUAGAACUGCACUUGAAACUUCUAAUCUAGAGUAUGGGAGGGGGAGAUGGAAUUAGUGGUGUAGGGGUAAAAUCCGUAGAUAUCACUAGGAAUACCUAAAGCGAAGGCGAUCUCCUGGAACAUUACUGACGCUAAGGCGUGAAAGCGUGGGGAGCAAACAGGAUUAGAUACCCCAGUAGUC
This 439-nucleotide ribosomal RNA is filed under the name uncultured bacterium. RNAcentral's name for it is "partial 16S ribosomal RNA". It matches the Rfam family "Bacterial small subunit ribosomal RNA", at positions 339 to 795 of the family's 1533-position model. The record is from RNAcentral.